This 138-nucleotide ribosomal RNA is filed under the name Propithecus coquereli (Coquerel's sifaka). Lineage: Eukaryota; Metazoa; Chordata; Mammalia; Primates; Indriidae. The record is from RNAcentral.
GUCUACAGCCAUACCACCCUGAAUGCACCCGAUCUCGUCUGGUCUCGGAAGCUAAGCAGGGUCAGGCCUCGUUAGUAUUUGGAUGUGAGAAGAGCCUUUCCUACUUUGCUCCUUCGGUAACAUGUCUAGUGCAAUACC